RNAcentral lists this long non-coding RNA (791 nucleotides) under Homo sapiens (human). RNAcentral's name for it is "non-protein coding lnc-ABHD12B-4:3". Lineage: Eukaryota; Metazoa; Chordata; Mammalia; Primates; Hominidae. The record is from RNAcentral.
ACUCCCACCGCGUCCCGGCCCCUGCCCCAGGCCGGAGGGCAGAGGAAGUGCCCGGCCCCUCCCGAGGCUCUGGGGCCGCAGUGGGCUCGGGGGUGGGAGACGAGGUCCAAGCGCCGGCGAGACCCCUGCCAGCCCGGGACCUGGGCUCGGAGGCUCCCUUCCGGAUUUCCAAAAUCUGCGGAGGCAGCAUUUGUUCCGCCUCUCCCCUCUAGAGUGUGGAGACAGGAGGACGUCUGUGUAGGGAAGCACGUCGUUGGCAGACUGCUGUUUUGCCGAUGUUUAUUUGUUAUGCCAUUAUGACUGUUAGGAUUUCUCACCUGGAGUGGCUUCCGCCAUAAGCGCCGGGAUCUGGAAGGACGGCACGUUUGACUUCUGUUGUCCCAACCUCACUUGCCAGCCCUUGGCACCGCCCCAGCUUGGAUCCUCAGGGCGCCUCUGUUAUUUUCAUUCAUUUUUUUUGAGGACUCCAGGGUUCAGGUUUCUUAACUCCUGGACCAAAGUUCGCCCCGCUCGUAGCACCCUGUCUCUCAUCCUUAGAGGUAGGUUACUAAGAAUCAGAGUAGGUGAGGUGAAGCUCUAGGGUCAUUAUGCGGCAGGGGCUUUUACCUUAGGCUUCUUCGAAUUACGUUUUAACUGCAGUGGAGGGUGUGGGGGGAGGAGAGGGAGAAAACAGAAGGGUAUGUGUGUGGAAAAUGAAGGGAUUACUCACUGGACUAGUUGCCUUCUUUACAAAAAACAACCCAGUCUGUGUUACUGUGCGGUACAGGCUGAUCUUUGCACCUCCACUUUGG